Melospiza melodia melodia is the source of this 460-nucleotide long non-coding RNA. RefSeq lists it as uncharacterized. The transcript has 3 exons. The record is from RefSeq and is a predicted model, not a curated record. NCBI's taxonomy places the organism in Eukaryota, Metazoa, Chordata, Aves, Passeriformes, Passerellidae.
UAUUAAAUUCUGUGUGGGCCAGGUAAUAAUUCACAGAAGAUUUGGCUACUCAGGAGUCAUUGUUGGAUGGGAUGUAAAAGCUAACACUCCAGAAGAACAACUACAACCCAGAUAUCCUCCAGUGAAACAGGAUCUAAAAGAUACUCCUCACUAUCGAAUUCUAAUUAACAAAGCAAAUGGAUUUGGCAAAUCUACAGCUUAUGUUUCUGAGGAAGAGAUAACAGUUAUUACGGGAUUAGAGGUGUAUCACCCUGAUAUGGAAACCUACUUCAGUGGAUAUGAUGGAUCAAAAUACAUUAUGCAGCCAUGGCUGAAAAAACUCUACCCUCAUGACUGAGUACUUCAGUGUCUGUACAUGUAACGUACACCCAGAUAACAGAUGUCCUUUUGAAAACUGAGCAAACAGGCACCAGGAUAAAAUGUAUAUUUUUUUUCCUAUGAUGAAAUAAAACAUUCCUAA